CGCGGGGUGGAGCAGUGGUAGCUCGUUGGGCUCAUAACCCAAAGGUCGUCGGUUCGAGUCCGGCUCCCGCAACCA
Molecule: transfer RNA, 75 nt
Filed under: Barnesiella viscericola
Lineage: Bacteria; Pseudomonadati; Bacteroidota; Bacteroidia; Bacteroidales; Barnesiellaceae
Also listed under: 7 other names
Description: tRNA-Met
Rfam family: tRNA
About the family: Transfer RNA (tRNA) molecules are approximately 80 nucleotides in length.
Source: RNAcentral